This 2930-nucleotide ribosomal RNA is filed under the name Escherichia coli. Its description in RNAcentral is "23S ribosomal RNA". It matches the Rfam family "Bacterial large subunit ribosomal RNA". The record is from RNAcentral. Lineage: Bacteria; Pseudomonadati; Pseudomonadota; Gammaproteobacteria; Enterobacterales; Enterobacteriaceae.
GGGUUGUGAGGUUAAGCGACUAAGCGUACACGGUGGAUGCCCUGGCAGUCAGAGGCGAUGAAGGACGUGCUAAUCUGCGAUAAGCGUCGGUAAGGUGAUAUGAACCGUUAUAACCGGCGAUUUCCGAAUGGGGAAACCCAGUGUGUUUCGACACACUAUCAUUAACUGAAUCCAUAGGUUAAUGAGGCGAACCGGGGGAACUGAAACAUCUAAGUACCCCGAGGAAAAGAAAUCAACCGAGAUUCCCCCAGUAGCGGCGAGCGAACGGGGAGCAGCCCAGAGCCUGAAUCAGUGUGUGUGUUAGUGGAAGCGUCUGGAAAGGCGCGCGAUACAGGGUGACAGCCCCGUACACAAAAAUGCACAUGCUGUGAGCUCGAUGAGUAGGGCGGGACACGUGGUAUCCUGUCUGAAUAUGGGGGGACCAUCCUCCAAGGCUAAAUACUCCUGACUGACCGAUAGUGAACCAGUACCGUGAGGGAAAGGCGAAAAGAACCCCGGCGAGGGGAGUGAAAAAGAACCUGAAACCGUGUACGUACAAGCAGUGGGAGCCUCUUUUAUGGGGUGACUGCGUACCUUUUGUAUAAUGGGUCAGCGACUUAUAUUCUGUAGCAAGGUUAACCGAAUAGGGGAGCCGAAGGGAAACCGAGUCUUAACUGGGCGUUAAGUUGCAGGGUAUAGACCCGAAACCCGGUGAUCUAGCCAUGGGCAGGUUGAAGGUUGGGUAACACUAACUGGAGGACCGAACCGACUAAUGUUGAAAAAUUAGCGGAUGACUUGUGGCUGGGGGUGAAAGGCCAAUCAAACCGGGAGAUAGCUGGUUCUCCCCGAAAGCUAUUUAGGUAGCGCCUCGUGAAUUCAUCUCCGGGGGUAGAGCACUGUUUCGGCAAGGGGGUCAUCCCGACUUACCAACCCGAUGCAAACUGCGAAUACCGGAGAAUGUUAUCACGGGAGACACACGGCGGGUGCUAACGUCCGUCGUGAAGAGGGAAACAACCCAGACCGCCAGCUAAGGUCCCAAAGUCAUGGUUAAGUGGGAAACGAUGUGGGAAGGCCCAGACAGCCAGGAUGUUGGCUUAGAAGCAGCCAUCAUUUAAAGAAAGCGUAAUAGCUCACUGGUCGAGUCGGCCUGCGCGGAAGAUGUAACGGGGCUAAACCAUGCACCGAAGCUGCGGCAGCGACGCUUAUGCGUUGUUGGGUAGGGGAGCGUUCUGUAAGCCUGCGAAGGUGUGCUGUGAGGCAUGCUGGAGGUAUCAGAAGUGCGAAUGCUGACAUAAGUAACGAUAAAGCGGGUGAAAAGCCCGCUCGCCGGAAGACCAAGGGUUCCUGUCCAACGUUAAUCGGGGCAGGGUGAGUCGACCCCUAAGGCGAGGCCGAAAGGCGUAGUCGAUGGGAAACAGGUUAAUAUUCCUGUACUUGGUGUUACUGCGAAGGGGGGACGGAGAAGGCUAUGUUGGCCGGGCGACGGUUGUCCCGGUUUAAGCGUGUAGGCUGGUUUUCCAGGCAAAUCCGGAAAAUCAAGGCUGAGGCGUGAUGACGAGGCACUACGGUGCUGAAGCAACAAAUGCCCUGCUUCCAGGAAAAGCCUCUAAGCAUCAGGUAACAUCAAAUCGUACCCCAAACCGACACAGGUGGUCAGGUAGAGAAUACCAAGGCGCUUGAGAGAACUCGGGUGAAGGAACUAGGCAAAAUGGUGCCGUAACUUCGGGAGAAGGCACGCUGAUAUGUAGGUGAAGUCCCUCGCGGAUGGAGCUGAAAUCAGUCGAAGAUACCAGCUGGCUGCAACUGUUUAUUAAAAACACAGCACUGUGCAAACACGAAAGUGGACGUAUACGGUGUGACGCCUGCCCGGUGCCGGAAGGUUAAUUGAUGGGGUCAGCGCAAGCGAAGCUCUUGAUCGAAGCCCCGGUAAACGGCGGCCGUAACUAUAACGGUCCUAAGGUAGCGAAAUUCCUUGUCGGGUAAGUUCCGACCUGCACGAAUGGCGUAAUGAUGGCCAGGCUGUCUCCACCCGAGACUCAGUGAAAUUGAACUCGCUGUGAAGAUGCAGUGUACCCGCGGCAAGACGGAAAGACCCCGUGAACCUUUACUAUAGCUUGACACUGAACAUUGAGCCUUGAUGUGUAGGAUAGGUGGGAGGCUUUGAAGUGUGGACGCCAGUCUGCAUGGAGCCGACCUUGAAAUACCACCCUUUAAUGUUUGAUGUUCUAACGUUGACCCGUGAUCCGGGUUGCGGACAGUGUCUGGUGGGUAGUUUGACUGGGGCGGUCUCCUCCUAAAGAGUAACGGAGGAGCACGAAGGUUGGCUAAUCCUGGUCGGACAUCAGGAGGUUAGUGCAAUGGCAUAAGCCAGCUUGACUGCGAGCGUGACGGCGCGAGCAGGUGCGAAAGCAGGUCAUAGUGAUCCGGUGGUUCUGAAUGGAAGGGCCAUCGCUCAACGGAUAAAAGGUACUCCGGGGAUAACAGGCUGAUACCGCCCAAGAGUUCAUAUCGACGGCGGUGUUUGGCACCUCGAUGUCGGCUCAUCACAUCCUGGGGCUGAAGUAGGUCCCAAGGGUAUGGCUGUUCGCCAUUUAAAGUGGUACGCGAGCUGGGUUUAGAACGUCGUGAGACAGUUCGGUCCCUAUCUGCCGUGGGCGCUGGAGAACUGAGGGGGGCUGCUCCUAGUACGAGAGGACCGGAGUGGACGCAUCACUGGUGUUCGGGUUGUCAUGCCAAUGGCACUGCCCGGUAGCUAAAUGCGGAAGAGAUAAGUGCUGAAAGCAUCUAAGCACGAAACUUGCCCCGAGAUGAGUUCUCCCUGACCCUUUAAGGGUCCUGAAGGAACGUUGAAGACGACGACGUUGAUAGGCCGGGUGUGUAAGCGCAGCGAUGCGUUGAGCUAACCGGUACUAAUGAACCGUGAGGCUUAACCUUACAACGCCGAAGCUGUU